Molecule: long non-coding RNA, 6911 nt
Organism: Homo sapiens (human)
Lineage: Eukaryota; Metazoa; Chordata; Mammalia; Primates; Hominidae
Exons: 5
Source: RefSeq, a predicted model, not a curated record
UUACAGGUGUGAGCCACCAUGCCUGGCCUAAGAUUUUUGUUUUAAGUAGAGUUUUAGAAUGAUAUUUUAGUUCUCAGAAUUUAUUUUUCCUACCUCAGCUACACUCUAGUUUCUUUGUAAAAAUAUAUAAAUGUUCUUUAUUUGACAUAUAUAAAUUAAUGGUAACAACUAUCAUUUACUCAUCCACUGUAUAUGCUUAUAGUACCUUUGAAAUAAGUAGUAUUAUGAUCCCCAUUUUAUGUGAUAAUAAUUGCUAACUUUAAUAACGAUUUAACAUUUGCAUAGUGCUAUUCUAUCAGGUUUCAUCACAAUUUAAUCCUUCCAGAAGCUCUAAGAGAAAUGAAUUAUUACAAAGCUUAUUUUUCAAAUGAGAGAACUGAGGCAUAGAGAGGGUCAGAAAAUUUCUUAUGGUCACACUAGAAGUUAGUAAUGAAGCUGAUAUGAACCCAGGCAACCUGACCCUGAAGUCUUGUGUUUCUCUCUCCCAUUUACUGACUCAUACGUGCACUAUGAGUCAAUUCACUACAUGGAGGAGGACAUAGGAGCUUGGCCAGGCCCCUCUGCUAUGAAAUUGGCAGCAGAGAUUCAAAUCCAGGUAUGUGUGAUUCUAAAUCACACAUAAUCUACUCCCCUUGUUCCUUUCCCUCAAAAUGAUUGCCCCUUCUAUUCUAUUUCAUUGACACUGUACAGUGAGAAGGUGUUUGUUAAACACCUACAGUACAGUGAGGCUUAGAGAGGAAAAUCAGAGAAAUAGUUCUGCCCUGAAAGCUCUCACAAUCUGGUGGGAGAGACAAACACAUAGGUAAUUUUAUUAGAGUGUUGUAAAUGUUAUGGUAAAGGAAGACUUUUUGGAAGAGAUGGCACUUCAGUUAUGUGUAAAUGGAUAAGCAGAUGGUUUAAGAGAUACGGGGGUAAUUCAGACAAAAAAGAAUUGUGUGAGCAAUGGCUCAGAGGUUAGAAAUAGAAUGGUGUAUGGGUGAAGUGGAGCUGCAAACACACGUGUUAAAUGUGAAUGGAAAUGGUGUAGGGAGAUGAUUUUAAUGAGAUUAGCAAGAGUAAGAUUAUGAGGAACCUUGAAUGCCAUGCUAAGGACUCAAAGACAUAUAUCAUGUCACCUCUGUUGUAACCUUCCUUCCCAAUUCCUAUUCUUGGCAUCUCAGAACUUCCAGAGGCUUGAUAGAACAGAAUAUAAGAGAAUUAUAUUUUUGGUUCCUAGGGGGUAGGGUGAGGAAGGCAUCCAGAAGGAGUGAGCCAGCAGACAGGAGAGGGUACAGGUAGGGACUACAUAAUGGAAGGGUUUAUAUCAGUGUGUCAGAGAAAGAAGAUUCAAGAAAGAGAUUGGUGAUUUACUGAAAUCCUCAUUGCUGGCUUCAUCCUUAUUCUGAAGAUCCUACGAUGCCUGGAGAAAUUCUAGGCCUCACAUCUGGAGUGGCUGUGGGGCUGUGAUCUCUCCUAGAACCUCAGAGGCAUGAAGCUAGAAUAUCUUCCCCUUCAAGGAGAAUAAGCCAAGAACACAAGAAGAUCAGAGGCUGUAAGGAGCUGCUAUAAGGCCUUCUCCCAGUCACUUCCCUCUCUCUCCUGAGAGGCUGUCUUGAAUGAAUUUCUCAUCACUUACCAGAUUCUGAUGAGGGUAUAUGAGACAAGGACCUGGGGAGUUGGCCUCUUUGGUUCAUUCUUUGUACUGUUUAUCUAUGGUUGUUGCGGCCUUUGUUGAUGACAUUCAGCAUUGACUUCUUGGGUAAGGUAUUCAGUAGUUAAGAUUCAAUGACUCCAGUGAAAGGUAUGUUUCCAUCGUGAUGUUCUUCUUCUGGACAAUAAGUGAAAAGAGCAUGUGAGUACCUCUCUCACUCCCAGCAAAUAAUUGUUGUGUCACCUCCACAUGUUUCUUCACGAUUCGAGGCUUUGAUUUCCCCUGCAAGACAAAAUGCAAUGAAGUGAUACAGAAAAAAAGAAAUUCUAUGCUGUCAUCACACUAGACCAUGAUGUUGAUUUAUGGAUGGUCUGCUUUCUUAUAUGCACUUAAUAUUUUUGUACAAGCAAACCUGAAAAGUGUCAAAAUCCCCUUUAACAGAUUAACAGGCUGAGAUGGGUUAAAGUGAGCAAGCCGGGAAGUGGUGGAGCUGGGAUCCACACCCUGGUCUGUCUGAGUCCAGAUGUAAUCAUCUUGCAUUCACUAUGGCAUGUUUCCCUUAUGUUAAGGGUUGCUGACAUAGACAGUGCAUGUCAUUCCUUUUGGUAUGGUCUUCCUCCUUUCUAGCUUUUUUCUGCCUGGAAGAUCCAGGCACCCAAGAGAAUGGAGCUUCCAUGUAAAUUUGCAGAAUCCCUAGGAUGAAAGCGGAGAGGAUCUACCCUGAAACCAACAAGUCUAGGAUGCACAUCUCUGCCUUUUUUUCAGAAUUAGGAAGGGGCAGGCAGAUGGGCAAUUGACAGGAAUAGUAGAAGCAUCCUCGGGGAAGUUGGCUACUUUACUUAGUGAGAAAGCAAUGGAAAGUGACAUUUGUAACUGAGUUUUAAGUGAAGUACAGUCCUAAGAGAGGAGCUCUGAAAAACAGCUGUUACCUGAGAUUGGGAAUGUUAAAGACCUUCUCAGAGCCUGACUGUACUCACAGCUGGACCUAGCUAUCAGAAGAGGGACUGCAACAUACCUGAGAAACUUUCAGAAUACUUAACGGAAGCAGAGUCAGGGGAAGUGAUUUUGAUAGUAGUCCAUGAGAAAAAAAUACGGUGUUUUAAAAUGCAAAUGAACUAAAAUUUAAAUCCUGCUCUCUCAGUAGCUAUGCAGCCUUAGGCGAGUUAAUAUCUUUGACCUUAGUAUUUCUCAGGUGUAAAGAGGGAUAAUUACCUACUCAGAACUUCACCUCUCCCAAGAAAGCUUUCCUGACCAUGUGCUGGCCCUUCCUUUACAUUGGGAUUAAAGUACCCCCCCCCGUUUUUCCAGGCUUUCUUGACUUUAAUUCUGUCAUAGCUCUAAUUAAGAACCUCUGUAAUGAUCUGUCUGCAAGCUUGUGAGAAAUUUGAGGACUGGGAACCAGCCUGAAACAUGUCUGUUCCCCUCUGAGUCAACACAGUGCCUGGGAUCUGGUGUCCAGUAGGGAUUUAAAGCAUAUUGAUUGAAUGAGAAAUGAUGACAGGAUCUACAUGGAUCACAAAGGAUAGUUGUUAUUUUACCUGUUAACUAUUUAAUAGCGAAAUUAAAUGAAAUAUGAAUUAACCUAGGACCAGGGAAGGUGGGGUAAGUUGUGUCUUUCACAUCAACCUUCAUAUGUUCCCCAAUUUUUUCUUCCUUCAUGUACCUAGGACACUCUUGUUCAAACACAAAGGUGGUUUUAUUUUGGGUCUAUACUAGCUAGUUCCCUAGAAAGGUCUUAAAUACAAAAUGAAUGGAAUACAAAAUAACCUCCCUCAUUGUUUUUUUUCCCGGACAAAUGACAGGAUGCAUACAGAACUGCUACUUUUGUGAUGUUGCAAGUAAUGGUAUAGAUGUGCACAAAUCAUGGAUGUGGUCCCAGUGAUCCAUGGAAAUGUGAAGUCCAGGUGAGCACCGCCUCUCUCAUAAAGAUGCAGCACACCUUGAUUUCUCCCACUUCUUUGCUCAGUACCUGAUCCUGCCUCACUGCUGUCACCCUCCUUUUCCCUUUUCUCUACACUGCGGAGACUUCUAAUUCAGACACCAAACCCUUUCUAGUGUCCCUGUGUUUAUGUAUCAGAGUAAAAUGUUAAAUGCUUCCAAAACAUACGAGGCCCUACAACAUCUGGCCAAUUUCCUCCUCAAAGUUGCCCCUACUACUCCCCAUGGGCCACACAUCUCUAGUGGACCUGGACUCUGCAGCUUCUGGGUUGUGUCAGGCAGGCUCCUUCCCUCCUCAGGGCCUUUGCUCUAGCCAUUCCCUCUGCUUGGAUUGUUCCUGUCCCUUGUCUACAAGGAUAACUUCCUCACUCACCUUGAGGCCUUGAUCACUUCUCACCUUCUAGAUGAGGCCUACCCAGGCCACCUUAUGAUGGACUGCUAAACCCACUCUUCCUUGCCACCCUGUCGCUGAUACCCCAGAUCCUCUUUUCCUUGGCCCAAGUGUCCUUUCUAUUAUAGUAUUUUGCAUCUAACAGACUAUUUAAUUACUUAUUGAUGAUUAUUGCUGUUCUCUCUCCAGCUAUAAUGGCUCCUGCUAGAGUAUUAGCUCCUGAUGGUAGGGAUCUUUGUCUCUUGCUCACUGGUAUAUCUCAAGCAGCCCAGAUCUCAUCUCUGGUGAGCAUACAUUGGAGUCACUCAGAAAAUACCUGUGGAUGUAAUGAAUGUGUUUGUGUCCUGUGCUAGAUGGGAGACUUGUGAGAGAAAGGGCCAUGUGUUGUUGGUCUUUGUAAACCUACCAUCCACACUCUCUGAUACAACCAGAAGGGCAGUACUGAAUAGUCGUUGAAUUAAUUAAUCUUUUGAAAAUGACACUUAUAGGGAAAACAUUCUCUUUGCAUUCUGCAGCUUUUCCAGUGGUUGCCAUUUGUUUCGGCACCAUAUAGGUACCAGAUGCCAUAGGCAGAAUCUGGCACCAUAUAGGUACCAAAUGCCAUAGAAAGGCAGCCAUGGGAUACCUGAAGGCCAGAAGUCUGAUUCAUUUUCCGUGGCAUCUUCACAGGGUAGCACAGUUCCUACCACACAGCAUGACUUGUGGUGGUGUUUUCAGAUCUUGGUCAUUCAUUGCCUAAAUUGUUUUGGUUUUAUCUGGACAGGACAUAUACUAUGAUUUACAUAUUGCAUUUUAUUUUCACAAGACAGUGGCUUUCAGAAAGAAACACAAUUAUAUAAUUAAACACAAAGCAGAACGAUUUACAAAAAAGUUGAAAACAAAGUGGAAGCUAUUGUUUUGUAAUAGGAUACAUAACAAUGGAUGGGCUAUAGUAGGCACUUCAUGUACCUUUUUUAUUUAACCCUAAUGAAAACCCUUCAAUCACAAUGUUGUCAUUCCCAUUUUCAAAAGAGAGAAGAUUGAGAUCUAAGGCCUUAUGUAACUUGGCCAGUAUCUGACAGCUAGGAGGUAUCUGAAUGAGGUGGAAUCUUCCAGGCUCAUUGAUGAGAACACUCCACAAAGAUGGCCGUAUAGGCAGACCCCCACCGCUUAACUUGCCCCUGGAGUUCUCUCUGCUCCCCUCCCCGUUUCUCAUGCACACAUCUCUGCAACAUUUUCCUCCCAUCUCCUAAUACUUUCAGAAGCUCCUCGUCUUAGAGGUUGUUCUCCUGCUCCUUUGGUCAAGUGCUGGAAAAUUCAACACUAAUUUCUGCAGAGGUAGAGGAAUGGAGUUUGUUUCAAGUCCUUGUGAAGGGAUAGAAUGAUUGGUACUUACAGCUGCUUCAAGGUCUUGAUGAGGCUGGAUCUGGAGGAGGGUCUUUUAUGCAAGCUAGUCCCUGCAUGAGAGGAUUCCGGUCUUGGAAGGAUGCCUUCCCCUCCACAAAGACAUCUGGCCAGCCCACAAGGAAGAUAGUUUACUUAUCAAUGACACUGUGUACCCACAGGCUCAGGCCAGUUUCGUCAGAAGCAGAACAGGCUUUCCAAGGUCACCAAGCUGUUCUAAACUUCACCGAUUCAUUAGAGAAAGGCAACAAGACAGAGGCAUGUUUGGUAUCAAAAUUGUGAUCAGGAAGAUGGCUGCAUUCCCUGUUCCAUGGUAAAACAUCUCAUACCACCAAUGAACUCAGCCAGUUCUAGAGAGAUUUCCACCAUGAUAGAACGUUUCUGACUGUGGGCUCAGGGCCAGCCAUUCUCUGGGAGUGCAAGAUGGAAAAAUAUGAGGCUUCCCUUUCCUCUUUUCAAUCUUUUUCCAGGUUAUUUAUUUCGCGGCAAGUUUGAAAAUCAGUAGUUCUGUUAGGAGUUUUCCUACACUACAAUAGUAUAUCCUAUGAGUGAAUAGCCAUCACAAUCUUAGAUUCUUUCCCUUUAGCUUUGAUCAAAUAGCUUUUACUACCAAGCUACAUCGCAGAAGGAAGCAUCCUUGAUUUUUGUGUCAGAUGAACUUCUCAUUGUGUAGAAUUCACAAAAUUCUAAUAAAGAAAUUAUAUUGUGGGAAAAUGGUAUUGCUUUACUGCAAUAUCAGAAUAUAUAAUAAUUGCUUUUUCAGGGCCCACUAUGUAUCAGGUGUUUUAUAUAUCUUACUGAUAGUUUUCUUAAAAUCCCUGUGACGUACGAAUCUUUCUUCCAGUUUCACAGAUGAGGAAAUUUAGGCUCAGAAGGAUAGAUUACUUGUCCCUGUUCACACAGCUCGGAGGUGCAGAGCUGGGAUUUAAGAGGCAUGCAUCACAAUCCAUUGCCUACAUUGGUCAGCGGUAUUCCUACAUUUUACAUAGUCUUGGAAAGAAAUCCCUGUGUCUCUGAAAGUCACUAAUGUAAAUUUUAAAAUUCCAUACUGCUGUUAUGUCAUCCUUCUAUUUUAGAGUUUGACUUAUGACAAACGGUAUUUUUCCUUUCCUGUGAAAUAUUUAGUUUAGUUUACAACAAUAUAUUUAGGGUUGGCAGCUUUGAAAAUGUGUAUAUAUGAAUAAGUUAAAUAAUGUUGAUUUACCCCUUUUUGUGUGCUGAAAACUGCUAUGUACUGUGUAGAGGCCCAUGAACUAAUGAAUUUGCUUUCUCUCCCUGUGACACCUACCAGCUUCUAGAAUACUUUGCAUGGCUCCUGAUACACAAAAGCCACACAUAGCGUACCUAUGUGGAAAGUAACCAGUGUACAGCCUCCAGUUUGGAAGUGGGUGUUUUUGCUAUCAGUGUUUCAGUAUGAAAUGUAUUCGUUCAGCAAACCCUCUGCAAUGCCUGUGUGUCUCAUGCAGUGUACCUGACUGAUAGAGCAUAUGUAAAGACCAAGUAAAAACUGGCCCUUAUUCAUAACCAUCUCCUAGGAAAACAAAGCAAUAAAAGAAUGUAAAUUCUCAA